GUAUUGCUGAAGAGUUCCAAAAAACUAGGACGAAACAGCUGUCUAGUAU
This 49-nucleotide non-coding RNA is filed under the name Trichobilharzia regenti. Lineage: Eukaryota; Metazoa; Platyhelminthes; Trematoda; Strigeidida; Schistosomatidae. The record is from RNAcentral.